This is a long non-coding RNA of Chinchilla lanigera (long-tailed chinchilla), 402 nucleotides long. RefSeq lists it as uncharacterized. The record is from RefSeq and is a predicted model, not a curated record. NCBI's taxonomy places the organism in Eukaryota, Metazoa, Chordata, Mammalia, Rodentia, Chinchillidae. The transcript is spliced from 2 exons.
CAGCAAGGGAUCUGCAGCUUCAAAAAGCUGUACACAAAGGUGUUCUUCACCAGGUGCAUUGAUGUCACCAAAGCAGCAUCCUUGAUUCUAGAAGAGUUCAGGAAGAAACAUUUCAAUAUCCUCCACUGCAUCAACCUCACUGACAAAGCCUGGGAAGAUGUUAUAUACUAGACCUUAAACACCGUCUGGAGAUAACUAGUCAGAAUGUGUCACUGAAGUUUUGCUCAUGUCAUUCCAUGGGAAAAUUAAGUUUCAGCUGCCAAAGGAGAAUGAUCAGGAACCUGGAAACCAGAGAAAAUGUUAUAAAGAGAGGAUAAUAUUUGAGCUGAUAACCCAUUUGCUUAUGUCUACCAGAUGGCUAUUUCAUCUCCUGCCACACUGUGAAAUAAAUGAUUGAAAUAA